GACGAACGCUGGCGGCGUGCUUAACACAUGCAAGUCGAACGAUGAAGCGGGUGCUUGCACUCGUGGAUUAGUGGCGAACGGGCGAGUAACACGUGAGUAACCUGUCCUUUUCUUUGGGAUAACGGCUGGAAACGGCUGCUAAUACUGGAUAUUCAGGCUGCAUCGCAUGGUGUGGUUUGGAAAGGUUUUUUCUGGGAUUGGGUGGGCUCGCGGCCUAUCAGCUUGUUGGUGGGGUGAUGGCUUACCAAGGCUUUGACGGGUAGCCGGCCUGAGAGGGUGGUCGGUCGCACUGGGACUGGGAUACGGCCCAGACUCCUACGGGAGGCAGCAGUGGGGAAUAUUGCACAAUGGACGAAAGUUUGAUGCAGCGACGCCGCGUGGAGGGUGUAGGCCUUCGGGUUGUGAACUCCUUUUUCUCGCGAAAAAGGCACAGGUGUGGCUGUGUUGAUGGUAGUGGGGGAAGAAGCGCCGGCUAACUACGUG
RNAcentral lists this ribosomal RNA (483 nucleotides) under uncultured bacterium. RNAcentral describes it as "partial 16S ribosomal RNA". It matches the Rfam family "Bacterial small subunit ribosomal RNA", at positions 28 to 507 of the family's 1533-position model. The record is from RNAcentral.